AACGUGGACCCGUGAUCCGGGUUGCGGACAGUGUCUGGUGGGUAGUUUGACUGGGGCGGUCUCCUCCUAAAGAGUAACGGAGGAGCACGAAGGUUGGCUAAUCCUGGUCGGACAUCAGGAGGUUAGUGCAAUGGCAUAAGCCAGCUUGACUGCGAGCGUGACGGCGCGAGCAGGUGCGAAAGCAGGUCAUAGUGAUCCGGUGGUUCUGAAUGGAAGGGCCAUCGCUCAACGGAUAAAAGGUACUCCGGGGAUAACAGGCUGAUACCGCCCAAGAGUUCAUAUCGACGGCGGUGUUUGGCACCUCGAUGUCGGCUCAUCACAUCCUGGGGCUGAAGUAGGUCCCAAGGGUAUGGCUGUUCGCCAUUUAAAGUGGUACGCGAGCUGGGUUUAGAACGUCGUGAGACAGUUCGGUCCCUAUCUGCCGUGGGCGCUGGAGAACUGAGGGGGGCUGCUCCUAGUACGAGAGGACCGGAGUGGACGCAUCACUGGUGUUCGGGUUGUCAUGCCAAUGGCACUGCCCGGUAGCUAAAUGCGGAAGAGAUAAGUGCUGAAAGCAUCUAAGCACGAAACUUGCCCCGAGAUGAGUUCUCCCUGAGACUUAAAGUCUCCUGAAGGAACGUUGAAGACGACGACGUUGAUAGGCCGGGUGUGUAAGCGCAGCGAUGCGUUGAGCUAACCGGUACUAAUGAACCGUGAGGCUUAACCUUACAACGCCGAAG
RNAcentral lists this ribosomal RNA (719 nucleotides) under Salmonella enterica subsp. enterica serovar Wa. Its description in RNAcentral is "partial 23S ribosomal RNA". It matches the Rfam family "Bacterial large subunit ribosomal RNA", at positions 2224 to 2925 of the family's 2925-position model. Lineage: Bacteria; Pseudomonadati; Pseudomonadota; Gammaproteobacteria; Enterobacterales; Enterobacteriaceae. The record is from RNAcentral.